GACGAACGCUGGCGGCGUGCUUAACACAUGCAAGUCGAACGGCAAGGCCCCUUUGGGGGUACUCUUGUGGCCAACGGGCGAAUAACUCGUGAGUAACCUGCCCUCUACUUCGGGAUUACUUCAUGACACUGGGGAUCCUACCUUAUUGGACUCCUUUCUGCUUGGGUGGGGUUGCUAUGUUAUGGGAGUUGUGGCUGGUCUCGCUGCUUAUCAGCUUGAUUGUGGGGUAGUGGGUUAACAAGGCUGUGCCGGGUAACCGGCCUGAGAGGGCGAACGGCGACAUUGGGACUGAGAUACGGCCCGGACGCCGACGGGAGGCAGCAGUAGGGAAUAUUGCACAAUGGGCGGAAGCCUGAGGCAGCAACGCCGCGUGCGGGAUGACUGCCUUCGGGUUGUAAGCCGCUUUCAGCAGGGACGAAGCUUGUGGUGACGGUACCUGCAGAAGAAGCACCGGCUAACUACGUG
RNAcentral lists this ribosomal RNA (465 nucleotides) under uncultured bacterium. RNAcentral's name for it is "partial 16S ribosomal RNA". It matches the Rfam family "Bacterial small subunit ribosomal RNA", at positions 28 to 507 of the family's 1533-position model. The record is from RNAcentral.